This 523-nucleotide ribosomal RNA is filed under the name Bifidobacterium adolescentis. RNAcentral describes it as "bacterial SSU rRNA". It matches the Rfam family "Bacterial small subunit ribosomal RNA", at positions 163 to 697 of the family's 1533-position model. Lineage: Bacteria; Bacillati; Actinomycetota; Actinomycetes; Bifidobacteriales; Bifidobacteriaceae. The record is from RNAcentral.
GUAAUGCCGGAUGCUCCGACAUGACGCAUGUCGUGUCGGGAAAGAUUCAUCGGUAUGGGAUGGGGUCGCGUCCUAUCAGCUUGAUGGCGGGGUAACGGCCCACCAUGGCUUCGACGGGUAGCCGGCCUGAGAGGGCGACCGGCCACAUUGGGACUGAGAUACGGCCCAGACUCCUACGGGAGGCAGCAGUGGGGAAUAUUGCACAAUGGGCGCAAGCCUGAUGCAGCGACGCCGCGUGCGGGAUGACGGCCUUCGGGUUGUAAACCGCUUUUGACUGGGAGCAAGCCCUUCGGGGUGAGUGUACCUUUCGAAUAAGCACCGGCUAACUACGUGCCAGCAGCCGCGGUAAUACGUAGGGUGCAAGCGUUAUCCGGAAUUAUUGGGCGUAAAGGGCUCGUAGGCGGUUCGUCGCGUCCGGUGUGAAAGUCCAUCGCUUAACGGUGGAUCCGCGCCGGGUACGGGCGGGCUUGAGUGCGGUAGGGGAGACUGGAAUUCCCGGUGUAACGGUGGAAUGUGUAGAUAU